Molecule: ribosomal RNA, 313 nt
Filed under: uncultured bacterium
Lineage: Bacteria
Description: bacterial SSU rRNA
Rfam family: Bacterial small subunit ribosomal RNA
Source: RNAcentral
GACGAACGCUGGCGGCGUGCUUAACACAUGCAAGUCGAGCGGUAAGGCCCUUUCGGGGGUACACGAGCGGCGAACGGGUGAGUAACACGUGGGUGACCUGCCCUCAGCUCUGGGAUAAGCCUGGGAAACUGGGUCUAAUACUGGAUAUGACUCCACGGUGCAUGUCGUGGGGUGGAAAGCCUUGUGCGGCUGAGGAUGGGGCCCGCGGCCUAUCAGCUUGUUGGUGGGGUGAGGCCUACCAAGGCGACGACGGGUAGCCGGCCUGAGAGGGCGACCGGCCACACUGGGACUGAGACACGGCCCAGACUCCUAC